GAACGCUAGCUACAGGCUUAACACAUGCAAGUCGAGGGGCAUCAGGAAGAAAGCUUGCUUUCUUUGCUGGCGACCGGCGCACGGGUGAGUAACACGUAUCCAACCUGCCCUUUACUCGGGGAUAGCCUUUCGAAAGAAAGAUUAAUACCCGAUGGCAUAAUGAUUCCGCAUGGUUUCAUUAUUAAAGGAUUCCGGUAAAGGAUGGGGAUGCGUUCCAUUAGGUUGUUGGUGAGGUAACGGCUCACCAAGCCUUCGAUGGAUAGGGGUUCUGAGAGGAAGGUCCCCCACAUUGGAACUGAGACACGGUCCAAACUCCUACGGGAGGCAGCAGUGAGGAAUAUUGGUCAAUGGGCGCUAGCCUGAACCAGCCAAGUAGCGUGAAGGAUGAAGGCUCUAUGGGUCGUAAACUUCUUUUAUAUAAGAAUAAAGUGCAGUAUGUAUACUGUUUUGUAUGUAUUAUAUGAAUAAGGAUCGGCUAACUCCGUGCCAGCAGCCGCGGUAAUACGGAGGAUCCGAGCGUUAUCCGGAUUUAUUGGGUUUAAAGGGAGCGUAGGUGGACUGGUAAGUCAGUUGUGAAAGUUUGCGGCUCAACCGUAAAAUUGCAGUUGAUACUGUCAGUCUUGAGUACAGUAGAGGUGGGCGGAAUUCGUGGUGUAGCGGUGAAAUGCUUAGAUAUCACGAAGAACUCCGAUUGCGAAGGCAGCUCACUGGACUGCAACUGACACUGAUGCUCGAAAGUGUGGGUAUCAAACAGGAUUAGAUACCCUGGUAGUCCACACAGUAAACGAUGAAUACUCGCUGUUUGCGAUAUACAGUAAGCGGCCAAGCGAAAGCAUUAAGUAUUCCACCUGGGGAGUACGCCGGCAACGGUGAAACUCAAAGGAAUUGACGGGGGCCCGCACAAGCGGAGGAACAUGUGGUUUAAUUCGAUGAUACGCGAGGAACCUUACCCGGGCUUAAAUUGCAGUGGAAUGAUGUGGAAACAUGUCAGUGAGCAAUCACCGCUGUGAAGGUGCUGCAUGGUUGUCGUCAGCUCGUGCCGUGAGGUGUCGGCUUAAGUGCCAUAACGAGCGCAACCCUUAUCUUUAGUUACUAACAGGUUAUGCUGAGGACUCUAGAGAGACUGCCGUCGUAAGAUGUGAGGAAGGUGGGGAUGACGUCAAAUCAGCACGGCCCUUACGUCCGGGGCUACACACGUGUUACAAUGGGGGGUACAGAAGGCAGCUAGCGGGUGACCGUAUGCUAAUCCCAAAAGCCUCUCUCAGUUCGGAUCGAAGUCUGCAACCCGACUUCGUGAAGCUGGAUUCGCUAGUAAUCGCGCAUCAGCCACGGCGCGGUGAAUACGUUCCCGGGCCUUGUACACACCGCCCGUCAAGCCAUGGGAGCCGGGGGUACCUGAAGUACGUAACCGCAAGGAUCGUCCUAGGGUAAAACUGGUGACUGGGGCUAA
This 1450-nucleotide ribosomal RNA is filed under the name uncultured organism. RNAcentral describes it as "SSU rRNA". It matches the Rfam family "Bacterial small subunit ribosomal RNA". The record is from RNAcentral.